GUCUCAGAUUAGCCAUGCAUGUCUAAGUAUAAAUGGAUUAUACAGUGAAACUGCGAAUGGCUCAUUAAAUCAGUUAUAGUUUAUUUGAUAAUACCUUUUACUUGGAUAACCGUAAUAAUUUUAGAGCUAAUACAUGCGUGAAAGUGCGACUUUUGUGGAAGCACUGUAUUUAUUAGAUACAAAACCAAUCGAGCUUGCUCGUUACCUUGGUGAUUCAUAAUAACUAAACGAAUCGUAUGACUUUAUGUCGACGAUGAUUCAUUCAAAUUUCUGCCCUAUCAACUUUCGAUGGUAAGGUAUUGGCUUACCAUGGUUACAACGGGUGACGGAGAAUUAGGGUUCGAUUCCGGAGAGGGAGCCUGAGAAACGGCUACCACUUCUACGGAGGGCAGCAGGCGCGCAAAUUACCCAAUCCUGACUCAGGGAGGUAGUGACGAAUAAUAACGAUACGUGACUUCGGUCUAGUAAUCGGAAUGAGUACAAUUUAAACCCCUUAAUGAAUUCCAUUGGAGGGCAAGUCUGGUGCCAGCAGCCGCGGUAAUUCCAGCUCCAAUAGCGUAUAUUAAAGUUGUUGCAGUUAAAAAGCUCGUAGUUGGAUGUUGGGUUCUAGUUAUGUUCGGUCUCUUCUAGAGUACUGUCAUGCUGGCCCUUUUUCUCGAGGCCUAUAGGUGCACUUAACCGUGUGUUUAUAGUGUUCGGGACUUUUACCGUGAGAAAAUUAGAGUGUUCAUAGCAGGCUAGUGCUUGAAUAUUACAGCAUGGAAUAAUGGAAUAGGAUCAUGAUCUUAUUUUGUUGGUUUCUAAGAUUAAGAUAAUGAUUAAUAGGGAUAGUUGGGGGCAUUAAUAUUUAGUUGUCAGAGGUGAAAUUCUUAGAUUUACAAAAGAUUAACUUCUGCGAAAGCAUUUGCCAAGGAUGUUUUCGUUAAUCAAGAACGAAAGUUGAGGGAUCGAAGAUGAUCAGAUACCGUCGUAGUCUUAACCAUAAACUAUGCCGACUAGGAUUGGUGGUCGUA
RNAcentral lists this ribosomal RNA (1013 nucleotides) under uncultured eukaryote. RNAcentral describes it as "SSU rRNA". It matches the Rfam family "Eukaryotic small subunit ribosomal RNA", at positions 36 to 1064 of the family's 1831-position model. The record is from RNAcentral.